Molecule: ribosomal RNA, 253 nt
Filed under: uncultured bacterium
Lineage: Bacteria
Description: partial 16S ribosomal RNA
Rfam family: Bacterial small subunit ribosomal RNA
Source: RNAcentral
UACGAAUGGGGCAAGCGUUGUUCGGAAUCACUGGGCGUAAAGCGCGCGUAGGCGGACCUGCAAGUCGGGGGUGAAAGCCCGAGGCUCAACCUCGGAACUGCCUUCGAUACUGCGGGUCUCGAGUCCGGGAGAGGUGAGUGGAAUUCCUAGUGUAGAGGUGAAAUUCGUAGAUAUUCGGAAGAACACCAGUGGCGAAGGCGGCUCACUGGACCGGUAUUGACGCUGAGGUGCGAAAGCGUGGGGAGCAAACAGG